RNAcentral lists this ribosomal RNA (109 nucleotides) under uncultured Campylobacter sp. RNAcentral's name for it is "partial 16S ribosomal RNA". It matches the Rfam family "Bacterial small subunit ribosomal RNA", at positions 1218 to 1327 of the family's 1533-position model. Lineage: Bacteria; Pseudomonadati; Campylobacterota; Epsilonproteobacteria; Campylobacterales; Campylobacteraceae. The record is from RNAcentral.
UCACGUGCUACAAUGGCAUAUACAAUGAGACGCAAUACCGCGAGGUGGAGCAAAUCUAUAAAAUAUGUCCCAGUUCGGAUUAUUCUCUGCAACUCGAGAGCAUGAAGCC